This 817-nucleotide ribosomal RNA is filed under the name marine metagenome. RNAcentral's name for it is "bacterial SSU rRNA". It matches the Rfam family "Bacterial small subunit ribosomal RNA", at positions 692 to 1520 of the family's 1533-position model. The record is from RNAcentral.
AGAUAUUAGAAAGAAUACCAAUUGCGAAGGCAGCUUUCUGGAUCAUUACUGACACUGAGGAACGAAAGCAUGGGUAGCGAAGAGGAUUAGAUACCCUCGUAGUCCAUGCCGUAAACGAUGUGUGUUAGACGUUGGAAAUUUAUUUUCAGUGUCGCAGCGAAAGCGAUAAACACACCGCCUGGGGAGUACGACCGCAAGGUUAAAACUCAAAUGAAUUGACGGGGACCCGCACAAGUAGUGGAGCAUGUGGUUUAAUUCGAAGAUACGCGCAGAACCUUACCAACACUUGACAUGUUCGUCGCGACUUUAAGAGAUUAAAGUUUUCGGUUCGGCCGGACGAAACACAGGUGCUGCAUGGCUGUCGUCAGCUCGUGUCGUGAGAUGUUGGGUUAAGUCCCGCAACGAGCGCAACCCUCACUUUUAGUUGCCAUCAUUAAGUUGGGCACUCUGAAAGAACUGCCAGUGAUAAGCUGGAGGAAGGUGGGGAUGACGUCAAGUCCUCAUGGCCCUUACGUGUUGGGCUACACACGUGCUACAAUGGUAUCUACAACAGGAAGCAAAACUGCGAAGUUAAGCAAAUCCUUAAAAGAUACCUCAGUUCGGAUUGCACUCUGCAACUCGAGUGCAUGAAGCUGGAAUUACUAGUAAUCGUGGAUCAGCGUGCCACGGUGAAUGCGUUCCCGGGUCUUGUACACACCGCCCGUCACACCAUGGGAGUUGGUUCUACCUUAAGGCAAGGUUUCAAACCCUUGACCACGGUAUAGUCAGCGACUGGGGUGAAGUCGUAACAAGGUAGCCGUAGGGGAACCUGCGGCUG